GGAAGUGUGCCCGAGUACAAGGGACUACUUUGAUAGAGUAAGCACAGAAAUAAACCUCUCUCUUCCC
This 67-nucleotide transfer RNA is filed under the name Furcifer oustaleti (Oustalet's chamelion). Its description in RNAcentral is "tRNA-Ile". Lineage: Eukaryota; Metazoa; Chordata; Lepidosauria; Squamata; Chamaeleonidae. The record is from RNAcentral.